Molecule: long non-coding RNA, 255 nt
Filed under: Mytilus galloprovincialis (Mediterranean mussel)
Lineage: Eukaryota; Metazoa; Mollusca; Bivalvia; Mytilida; Mytilidae
Source: RNAcentral
CAGAAUCGCAUUCAAUUUGAAUUUUGAAAAUUAUUUUUAUAUACCCGGUAAAUGAAUCUGUAUUUUUAUCAGUUCACCAUUUUUCUUACUAAAUUUUGUCCUAAUUUUAAAAAUUUCAUACUAUAUUGUACCAUUUUGCAUCAUAUUUGUAUUUUUUUUAUUUCAGGAUUUUUGUGUACCGCUUCACAGAAAGAUUGCACACAUGUUGAAGUUGUGUACCUACUAGUAUGGAAUUGCUUGAGGAAUUUCCCCCCG